UACGUAGGAGGCGAGCGUUGUCCGGAGUUACUGGGCGUAAAGCGCACGUAGGCGGCUUUGUAAGUUAGGGGUGAAAGCCCGGAGCUCAACUCCGGAAUUGCCUUUAAGACUGCAUCGCUUGAAUCCGGGAGAGGUGAGUGGAAUUCCGAGUGUAGAGGUGAAAUUCGUAGAUAUUCGGAAGAACACCAGUGGCGAAGGCGGCUCACUGGACCGGUAUUGACGCUGAGGUGCGAAAGCGUGGGGAGCAAACAGG
Molecule: ribosomal RNA, 253 nt
Filed under: uncultured bacterium
Lineage: Bacteria
Description: partial 16S ribosomal RNA
Rfam family: Bacterial small subunit ribosomal RNA
Source: RNAcentral